GCCCUCGUAGUUCAACGGACAGAACAUCCCCGUCCUAAGGGGCAAAUGACCGUUCGAUUCGGUCCGAGGGCA
This 72-nucleotide transfer RNA is filed under the name Candidatus Giovannonibacteria bacterium RIFCSPHIGHO2_02_FULL_46_20. Its description in RNAcentral is "tRNA-Arg". It matches the Rfam family "tRNA". From Rfam's summary of the family: Transfer RNA (tRNA) molecules are approximately 80 nucleotides in length. Their secondary structure includes four short double-helical elements and three loops (D, anti-codon, and T loops). Lineage: Bacteria; Candidatus Giovannoniibacteriota. The record is from RNAcentral.